UUUUAUUUCAUAUAGGAAACCUUUAGUUAAUUAAUAUUAAAAAAUUAAUUCUAACUUAAAUAUGCAUGGUAGCUCAUUGUUCUACAACAAUUCUACUCCUUUAGUUAAUUAAUAAUGGUAGUUCAUUAUUCUACAACAAUUCUAUCCCUUUAGUUAAUUGAUACAACAAUGCUACUAUCACAUAAAAAAAAGAUCGCAUAAUGCUCACAUACACACACAUGCAUACUGUGGGG
This 233-nucleotide long non-coding RNA is filed under the name Panax ginseng (ginseng). RNAcentral describes it as "long non-coding RNA (PGIN_LNC017526)". The record is from RNAcentral. Lineage: Eukaryota; Viridiplantae; Streptophyta; Magnoliopsida; Apiales; Araliaceae.